This 292-nucleotide ribosomal RNA is filed under the name uncultured bacterium. RNAcentral describes it as "partial 16S ribosomal RNA". It matches the Rfam family "Bacterial small subunit ribosomal RNA", at positions 505 to 796 of the family's 1533-position model. The record is from RNAcentral.
GUGUCAGCAGCCGCGGUAAUACGGAGGGGGCUAGCGUUGUUCGGAAUUACUGGGCGUAAAGCGUACGUAGGCGGCUUUGUAAGUUAGAGGUGAAAGCCCGGGGCUCAACCCCGGAAUUGCCUUUAAGACUGCAUCGCUUGAAUCGCGGAGAGGUGAGUGGAAUUCCGAGUGUAGAGGUGAAAUUCGUAGAUAUUCGGAAGAACACCAGUGGCGAAGGCGGCUCACUGGACGCGUAUUGACGCUGAGGUACGAAAGCGUGGGGAGCAAACAGGAUUAGAAACCCGAGUAGUCC